AGUAAUAAUCAGACAGUGCAGAAAUACUCAAUUACUUAAUGAAAACCUUAGUUCCACACACCAUUCAGCAGUACAGUUUCUUAUAUUACUGGAUGGAUGCAUCUAGAAGUGUCGUGGCCUGGGCAGGUCUUAGUACUUUUCCACUGCAUCGGCUCCCCUCCUCUGGGUGGAGUCCUUGUUGUUCCUCACCUGAUGGCAAUCGCACCAGCAGUAUUUAAGACCAGCACACAACUAGUCCUCGCCAGAUUAGCUGCUAACCUCAUUGGCAUCUGGAAUCCACCUACCAAGCCUCACCAGCCUAACCUCUCCUGGAUUCUGGUUCGCACCUGCGGGUAACUUCCCUUCCAAACUGCCAGUGUCUCCUGCCUGCCUCCCUGUAUUACACGCAGACCUGGACCACCUGCAAACAUUGCCCUGGCCAGCCAUAGCUUCCCCCGCCCAGUCUCUGCACCCAGUCGUCACAGUGAUUUUGUCUUACUUUAGUUAUAGUUAUAGUCUCCUCUACCUCAGAUGUCUAGUUUAUGUUUCUUCUUAAUAACAGAAUGAGUUUUCCGUUGCUAACAAGCGUUGUGAAUAAAGUUCUUUUGUUGC
Long non-coding RNA from Oreochromis niloticus (Nile tilapia), 591 nucleotides. RefSeq lists it as uncharacterized. The record is from RefSeq and is a predicted model, not a curated record. The transcript is spliced from 3 exons. NCBI's taxonomy places the organism in Eukaryota, Metazoa, Chordata, Actinopteri, Cichliformes, Cichlidae.